This 446-nucleotide ribosomal RNA is filed under the name uncultured bacterium. RNAcentral describes it as "partial 16S ribosomal RNA". It matches the Rfam family "Bacterial small subunit ribosomal RNA", at positions 338 to 795 of the family's 1533-position model. The record is from RNAcentral.
CCUACGGGGGGCAGCAGUCGAGAAUCUUUCACAAUGGGGGAAACCCUGAUGGAGCGACGCCGCGUGGGGGAAUGAAGGUCUUCGGAUUGUAAACCUCUGUUAUGUGGGAGCAAAUUAAUAAGAUAGUACCACAAGAGGAAGAGACUGCGAAAUCGGUGCCAGCAGCCGCGGUAAUACAGAGGGCUUAAGCGGUGUUCGGAAGCCCUGGGCGUAAAGCGUGCGUAGGUGGUUUCGGAAGUCGUGUGUGAAAGGCGCGGGCUCAACCGGCGGACGGCACAUGAUACUGCGAGACUAGAGUAAAGGAGGGGGAACCGGAAUUCUUGGUGUAGCAGUGAAAUGCGUAGAUAUCGAGAGGAACACUGGUUGCGAAGGCAGGUUACUGGACAUUAACUGACGCUGAGGCACGAAGGCCAGGGGAGCGAAAGGGAUUAGAUACCCGAGUAGUC